CCCAUGGCUCAGAUUGAACGCUGGCGGCAGGCCUAACACAUGCAAGUCGAGCGGUAGAGAGAAGCUUGCUUCUCUUGAGAGCGGCGGACCGGGUGAGUAAUGCCUAGGAAUCUGCCUGGUAGUGGGGGAUAACGCUCGGAAACGGACGCUAAUACCGCAUACGUCCUACGGGAGAAAGCAGGGGACCUUCGGGCCUUGCGCUAUCAGAUGAGCCUAGGUCGGAUUAGCUAGUUGGUGAGGUAAUGGCUCACCAAGGCGACGAUCCGUAACUGGUCUGAGAGGAUGAUCAGUCACACUGGAACUGAGACACGGUCCAGACUCCUACGGGAGGCAGCAGUGGGGAAUAUUGGACAAUGGGCGAAAGCCUGAUCCAGCCAUGCCGCGUGUGUGAAGAAGGUCUUCGGAUUGUAAAGCACUUUAAGUUGGGAGGAAGGGCAGUAAAUUAAUACUUUGCUGUUUUGACGUUACCGACAGAAUAAGCACCGGCUAAC
This 491-nucleotide ribosomal RNA is filed under the name Pseudomonas sp. CL3.146. Its description in RNAcentral is "bacterial SSU rRNA". It matches the Rfam family "Bacterial small subunit ribosomal RNA", at positions 16 to 501 of the family's 1533-position model. The record is from RNAcentral. Lineage: Bacteria; Pseudomonadati; Pseudomonadota; Gammaproteobacteria; Pseudomonadales; Pseudomonadaceae.